RNAcentral lists this ribosomal RNA (236 nucleotides) under uncultured bacterium. RNAcentral describes it as "partial 16S ribosomal RNA". It matches the Rfam family "Bacterial small subunit ribosomal RNA", at positions 104 to 334 of the family's 1533-position model. The record is from RNAcentral.
CGGGGUAGGAGUAACGCGUGAGGAACCUGCCUCAAAGAGGGGGGAAACAGUUGGAAACGACUGCUAAUACCGCAUAAGCCCACGGCUCGGCAUCGAGCAGAGGGAAAAGGAGUGAUCCGCUUUGAGAUGGCCUCGCGUCCGAUUAGCUAGUUGGUGAGGUAACGGCCCACCAAGGCAACGAUCGGUAGCCGGACUGAGAGGUUGAACGACCACAUUGGGACUGAGACACGGCCCAG